RNAcentral lists this transfer RNA (53 nucleotides) under Pomphorhynchus laevis. RNAcentral's name for it is "tRNA-Met". Lineage: Eukaryota; Metazoa; Acanthocephala; Palaeacanthocephala; Echinorhynchida; Pomphorhynchidae. The record is from RNAcentral.
UCAGGGAGCGGUUAGGCUUUAGGACUCAUACUCCUAAGAUGUAUUUCUCUGAU